This 109-nucleotide ribosomal RNA is filed under the name uncultured bacterium. RNAcentral describes it as "partial 16S ribosomal RNA". It matches the Rfam family "Bacterial small subunit ribosomal RNA", at positions 1365 to 1482 of the family's 1533-position model. The record is from RNAcentral.
AAUACGUUCCCGGACCUUGCACACACCGCCCGUCAAGCCAUGGGAGCCGGGUGUACCUAAAGUCGGUAACCGUGAGGAGCUGCCUAGGGUAAAAUCGGUGACUGGGGCU